Molecule: ribosomal RNA, 819 nt
Filed under: Triticum aestivum (bread wheat)
Lineage: Eukaryota; Viridiplantae; Streptophyta; Magnoliopsida; Poales; Poaceae
Description: partial small subunit ribosomal RNA
Source: RNAcentral
AUGCACUCCAUUUCUGAUCUCAUAGCAAGCCAUGACCCGGACGUCAUCUUCUUGCAGGAGGUGACGGGUUACAUGAAGGAUAUCCUUCGGAGGUCCCCAUGGUGGGAACAGUACAGGGAAUUCACUGCUCCGACCUCAAGCCCUUGUUCGAUUCUGCUGACCAAGCUCCAUGCAGGGGACGAUCGAUGUGACAUCAUGCCAGAGCCAUGGCUGCGGCCACCAGGAGAUCCAGCGGGUUUGUUAUCGGCGUUCCUUGACUGGAAGCGCCCCACAGACACCGACAGAGACGCCGUCAAGGACCGCAAAAAAAAGAACCGCCGCCUGCACCCGAUGUGCUGCGACUGCGAGCACAGGCUGCACGCGGCGACGUGCCGCUUCCCCGGGCCCACUCAGUCGGACAUUCGGUCCGUCGACAGAAUCGGCAGAGCCCACGAGUACUUCCGGCACUUCGCGAACUGCUCCGAUCACAACGCGGUGCUCGCCGGCGACAUGAGCUUGGACGACGACCUCGACGGCCCCUUCCCCAUCCCCGCGGGGUCGGGGUGGGUGGACGCCUGGUGCGAGCUGCGGGCCAGCGACGUGGCCGGAUGGACGUACGACUCGGUGGCGAACCCGAUGCUCCGGGGGUUCAAGCCGGGGCUGACGAGGCCGGACAGGUUCCUCUGCAAGCUCAGGGACUUCGACCUGUACAGCAUCGAGAUGGUCGGCACAGAGGCCAUUCGAGGCGUUACCUACUACGACGACAAUGGGGACUUGCUGCCGGUUCUUCCCAGCCAUCGCUUCGGCCUGCUGCUUACCAUCUCGCCCAAGCAGGCUUAG